RNAcentral lists this ribosomal RNA (155 nucleotides) under uncultured Bacteroides sp. RNAcentral's name for it is "partial 16S ribosomal RNA". It matches the Rfam family "Bacterial small subunit ribosomal RNA", at positions 355 to 507 of the family's 1533-position model. The record is from RNAcentral. Lineage: Bacteria; Pseudomonadati; Bacteroidota; Bacteroidia; Bacteroidales; Bacteroidaceae.
UGAGGAAUAUUGGUCAAUGGGCGAGAGCCUGAACCAGCCAAGUAGCGUGAAGGAUGAAGGUUCUAUGGAUUGUAAACUUCUUUUAUAAGGGAAUAACCGACGUUACGUGUAGCGUUUUGCAUGUACCUUAUGAAUAAGCAUCGGCUAACUCCGUG